GGCAACGACCGUACCGCAAACCGACACACUGCGCGAGAUGAGUAUUCUAAGGCGCUUGAGAGAACUCAGGAGAAGGAACUCGGCAAAUUGACACCGUAACUUCGGAAGAAGGUGUGCCCUAUUAGUGAGAAGUGAACAACGGAGCAUGAAUGGGUUGCAAAAAAUCGGUGGCUGCGACUGUUUAUUAAAAACACAGCACUCUGCAAACACGAAAGUGGACGUAUAGGGUGUGACGCCUGCCCGGUGCUGGAAGAUUAAAUGAUGGGGUGCAAGCUCUUGAUUGAAGUCCCAGUAAACGGCGGCCGUAACUAUAACGGCCCUAAGGUAGCGAAAUUCCUUGUCGGGUAAGUUCCGACCUGCACGAAUGGCGUAACGAUGGCCACACUGUCUCCUCCUGAGACUCAGCGAAGUUGAAAUGUUUGUGAUGAUGCAAUCUCCCCGCGGAAAGACGGAAAGACCCCAUGAACCUUUACUGUAGCUUUGUAUUGGACUUUGAACAGAUCUGUGUAGGAUAGGUGGGAGGCUUUGAAGCAGGGUCGCUAGAUCUUGUGGAGCCAACGUUGAAAUACCACCCUGGUGUGUUUGAGGUUCUAACCUAGGUCCAUUAUCUGGAUCGGGGACAGUGCAUGGUAGGCAGUUUGACUGGGGCGGUCUCCUCCCAAAGCGUAACGGAGGAGUUCGAAGGUACGCUAGUUACGGUCGGACAUCGUGACGAUAGUGCAAUAGCAUAAGCGUGCUUAACUGCGAGACUGACAAGUCGAGCAGAUGCGAAAGCAGGACAUAGUGAUCCGGUGGUUCUGUAUGGAAGGGCCAUCGCUCAACGGAUAAAAGGUACUCUGGGGAUAACAGGCUGAUACCGCCCAAGAGUUCGUAUCGACGGCGGUGUUUGGCACCUCGAUGUCGGCUCAUCUCAUCCUGGGGCUGUAGCCGGUCCCAAGGGUAUGGCUGUUCGCCAUUUAAAGAGGUACGUGAGCUGGGUUUAAAACGUCGUGAGACAGUUUGGUCCCUAUCUUCCGUGGGCGCUGCAGAUUUGAGGAAGCCUGCUCCUAGUACGAGAGGACCGGAGUGGACACACCUCUGGUGUAUCGGUUGUCACGCCAGUGGCAUUGCCGAGUAGCUAAGUGUGGAAGAGAUAACCGCUGAAAGCAUCUAAGCGGGAAACUCGUUUCAAGAUGAGAUCUGCCGGGGCCUUGAGCCCCCUAAAGAGUCGUUCAAGACCAGGACGUUGAUAGGUCAGGUGUGGAAGCGCAGUAAUGCGUUAAGCUAACUGAUACUAAUUGCUCGUGCGGCUUGACCA
This 1297-nucleotide ribosomal RNA is filed under the name metagenome. Its description in RNAcentral is "bacterial LSU rRNA". It matches the Rfam family "Bacterial large subunit ribosomal RNA", at positions 1634 to 2925 of the family's 2925-position model. The record is from RNAcentral.